RNAcentral lists this long non-coding RNA (1749 nucleotides) under Brassica rapa (field mustard). RNAcentral describes it as "long non-coding RNA (BRAP_LNC000778)". Lineage: Eukaryota; Viridiplantae; Streptophyta; Magnoliopsida; Brassicales; Brassicaceae. The record is from RNAcentral.
AUCAACAAAGGCGAUGCAAGUGUCUGGUAUUUGGAUAAUGGAGCGAGCAAUCACAUGACAGGGAAUAAGGAGUUCUUUUCGAGUUUGAAUCGCAACACCAAAGGGAAGGUGAAGUUUGGUGAUGGAUCGUGUGUUGACAUUGUAGGAAAGGGUGUGGUUACUUUUGUGUGCAAGACUGGAGAGAAGAAGGCACUCAAGGACAUAUACUACAUACCCGAUCUGAAGCACAAUAUAUUGAGUCUUGGGCAAGCAACAGAGAACGGAUGUGAGGUUAACAUGAAAGAUGUUUACUUAACGCUCACAGAUUCGCAUGGAAGGUUGCUAGUUCGUGUGACAAGAUCUCCAAACCGUCUCUACAAGACCCCUAUGGAGAUAAGCUACCCGGAAUGUUUACAUGUCAGGGACGAUGAUGCUACAUGGAGGUGGCAUGCUCGACAAGGACAUAUAUGCAAUGGAGUGAUGAACAUGGUAAGAAAGGAGAUGGUCGUAGGAAUGCAGAGUGUAACACACGAAGAAGGCGUGUGUGACACAUGUCUCACAAGGAAGCAAACGAGACACUCAUUCCCGAGUGUAACACACGAAGAAGGCGUGUAUGACACAUGUUUCGCAGGGAAGCAAAUCAGAGAUUCAUUCCCGACUAAGGCCAUGGUUUGUACAUCAAAGCCAUUAGGAUUAUUGCUUGGAGAUUUGUUGGAAUAAGUGCACCACCAACGCCAGCAGAUAAUGGUGAGGCAUUCUAUCGGUUCAAAAGAUUUCACACCGAUAGAGGAGGAGAGCGUGCCUCAGCUAUGUUCAAUCUAGGUUGCACCGAUAGAGGAGGAGAGGUUGCCUCAGAUGUGUUCAAUCUAGGAUGCACCGAUAGAGGAGGAGAGAUUGCCUCAGAUGAGUUCAACCUAUCUUGUGAAGAAGAUUGGGUUGAAGCUAUGGAAGACGAGUUGGAGUCUAUCACAAGAAACAAGAUAUGGGAGCUUGUAGAUAGACCGACUGGUUCUGAGAAGAAAAGAGAAGAGGAUCGAGUGUGUGUGUUACACAAGACGUUGCAUGUGUUACGCCAGGCAUCCAGAGCAUGGAGUGUGAAACUUGAUCAGGUUCUCAAGGAGAUGAGAUUUGAGAAGUGCACGAAGGAACCAUCAGUGUACUGGAAGACUGAAGGAGGAGACGUCUUGAUCAUAGCCAUCUACGUUGAUGAUCUAUUUGUGACAGGAACUUCGCUUAAGAUGAUUAGGCAAUUCAAGGAGGAGAUGUCUAAGAAGUUCGAGAUGUCAGAUUUAGGUAAGCUGACGUACUACCUUGGCAUAGAGGUGAUUCAAGGAGCAGACGGAAUCAGAAUAAAGCAAGAGAGGUAUGCUCAAGGAAUCCUGUGUGACACAAAGAUGGAAGUUUGUAACACGACUCACGUAGGAGUGUGCAACACGACUCAAGGAAUCAUGUGUGACACAAAGAUGGAAGUGUGUAACACGACUCACGUAGGAGUGUGCAACACGACUCACGGAGGAGUGUGUGACACAAAGGUGGAAGCGUGUGACACAACGCACGUACCAAUGGAGUCAAGGUUCUCAAAGGCUGAAGAUGAACCAGAGAUAAAUCAGUUGGGUGUUGAGCAGAAGGCCGACAUCCUUCCCAGAGCUCAUGUACGCAAGAUGGCGGAUGUGACCAGAGUUAUCAUCGCAGUGAGCUUCAGCCACAAGACUCAUCGCAACUUAAGUGAAGAGGUCAUGAGAAGGUUCUACAAGAACUGGGCCGAUUCUA